This 281-nucleotide unclassified non-coding RNA is filed under the name air metagenome. RNAcentral describes it as "partial contains small subunit ribosomal RNA, internal transcribed spacer 1, and 5.8S ribosomal RNA". The stretch from base 1 to 46 matches the Rfam family "Eukaryotic small subunit ribosomal RNA", at positions 1786 to 1831 of the family's 1831-position model. The record is from RNAcentral.
AAGUCGUAACAAGGUUUCCGUAGGUGAACCUGCGGAAGGAUCAUUACUGAGUUGCUGACAAGAGUUGUUGCUGGUCCCCUCAAAUGGGGGACAUGUGCACACUCUGUCUGUAUAUCCACUCACACCUGUGCACCCUCUGUAGUUCUAUGGCCAGGGGGAUUUCCAUCCUCCUUCUGUGGUUCUGCAUCUUUACACACACACACUGUAUCAAAGUCUCAUGGAAUGUAUGCCGCGAUUAACGCAAUACAAUACAACUUUCAGCAACGGAUCUCUUGGCUCUC